Molecule: ribosomal RNA, 294 nt
Filed under: uncultured bacterium
Lineage: Bacteria
Description: partial 16S ribosomal RNA
Rfam family: Bacterial small subunit ribosomal RNA
Source: RNAcentral
CCUCCUACGGGGGCAGCAGUAGGGAAUCUUCCACAAUGGACGAAAGUCUGAUGGAGCAACGCCGCGUGAGUGAAGAAGGGUUUCGGCUCGUAAAGCUCUGUUGGUAGUGAAGAAAGAUAGAGGUAGUAACUGGCCUUUAUUUGACGGUAAUUACUUAGAAAGUCACGGCUAACUACGUGCCAGCAGCCGCGGUAAUACGUAGGUGGCAAGCGUUGUCCGGAUCUAUUGGGCGUAAAGCGAGUGCAGGCGGUUCAAUAAGUCUUGUGUGAAAGCCUUCCGCCCCAACCGAGAAUU